This 460-nucleotide ribosomal RNA is filed under the name uncultured bacterium. RNAcentral's name for it is "partial 16S ribosomal RNA". It matches the Rfam family "Bacterial small subunit ribosomal RNA", at positions 338 to 795 of the family's 1533-position model. The record is from RNAcentral.
CCUACGGGUGGCAGCAGUGAGGAAUAUUGGUCAAUGGACAAGAGUCUGAACCAGCCAAGUAGCGUGAAGGAUGACUGCCCUAUGGGUUGUAAACUUCUUUUAUAUGGGAAUAAAAUGUUCCACGUGUGGGAUUUUGUAUGUACCAUAUGAAUAAGGAUCGGCUAACUCCGUGCCAGCAGCCGCGGUAAUACGGAGGAUCCGAGCGUUAUCCGGAUUUAUUGGGUUUAAAGGGAGCGUAGGUGGAUUGUUAAGUCAGUUGUGAAAGUUUGCGGCUCAACCGUAAAAUUGCAGUUGAAACUGGCAGUCUUGAGUACAGUAGAGGUGGGCGGAAUUCGUGGUGUAGCGGUGAAAUGCUUAGAUAUCACGAAGAACUCCGAUGGCGAAGGCAGUUCACUGGACUGCAACUGACACUGAGGCUCGAAAGUGUGGGUAUCAAACAGGAUUAGAUACCCUAGUAGUC